RNAcentral lists this ribosomal RNA (1392 nucleotides) under Corynebacterium diphtheriae. Its description in RNAcentral is "bacterial SSU rRNA". It matches the Rfam family "Bacterial small subunit ribosomal RNA". RNAcentral also lists the same sequence under 1 other name. The record is from RNAcentral. Lineage: Bacteria; Bacillati; Actinomycetota; Actinomycetes; Mycobacteriales; Corynebacteriaceae.
ACGAACGCUGGCGGCGUGCUUAACACAUGCAAGUCGAACGGAAAGGCCUAGCUUGCUAGGUACUCGAGUGGCGAACGGGUGAGUAACACGUGGGUGAUCUGCCUCGUACUUCGGGAUAAGCCUGGGAAACUGGGUCUAAUACUGGAUAGGACCAUGCUUUAGUGUGUGUGGUGGAAAGUUUUUUCGGUACGAGAUGAGCCCGCGGCCUAUCAGCUUGUUGGUGGGGUAAUGGCCUACCAAGGCGUCGACGGGUAGCCGGCCUGAGAGGGUGGACGGCCACAUUGGGACUGAGAUACGGCCCAGACUCCUACUGGAGGCAGCAGUGGGGAAUAUUGCACAAUGGGCGCAAGCCUGAUGCAGCGACGCCGCGUGGGGGAUGACGGCCUUCGGGUUGUAAACCUCUUUCGCUAGGGACGAAGCUUUUGUGACGGUACCUAGAUAAGAAGCACCGGCUAACUACGUGCCAGCAGCCGCGGUAAUACGUAGGGUGCGAGCGUUGUCCGGAAUUACUGGGCGUAAAGAGCUCGUAGGUGGUUUGUCGCGUCGUCUGUGAAAUUCCGGGGCUUAACUUCGGGCGUGCAGGCGAUACGGGCAUAACUUGAGUGCUGUAGGGGAGACUGGAAUUCCUGGUGUAGCGGUGGAAUGCGCAGAUAUCAGGAGGAACACCGAUGGCGAAGGCAGGUCUCUGGGCAGUAACUGACGCUGAGGAGCGAAAGCAUGGGGAGCGAACAGGAUUAGAUACCCUGGUAGUCCAUGCCGUAAACGGUGGGCGCUAGGUGUGAGGGUCUUCCACGACUUUCGUGCCGUAGCUAACGCAUUAAGCGCCCCGCCUGGGGAGUACGGCCGCAAGGCUAAAACUCAAAGGAAUUGACGGGGGCCCGCACAAGCGGCGGAGCAUGUGGAUUAAUUCGAUGCAACGCGAAGAACCUUACCUGGGCUUGACAUAUGCAGGAUCGGCGUAGUGAUACGUUUUCCCUUGUGGUCUGUAUACAGGUGGUGCAUGGUUGUCGUCAGCUCGUGUCGUGAGAUGUUGGGUUAAGUCCCGCAACGAGCGCAACCCUUGUCUUAUGUUGCCAGCACGUGAUGGUGGGGACUCAUGAGAGACUGCCGGGGUUAACUCGGAGGAAGGUGGGGAUGACGUCAAAUCAUCAUGCCCCUUAUGUCCAGGGCUUCACACAUGCUACAAUGGUCGGUACAACGCGCUGCGAGCCUGUGAGGGUGAGCGAAUCGCUGAAAGCCGGCCUCAGUUCGGAUUGGGGUCUGCAACUCGACCCCAUGAAGUCGGAGUCGCUAGUAAUCGCAGAUCAGCAACGCUGCGGUGAAUACGUUCCCGGGCCUUGUACACACCGCCCGUCACGUCAUGAAAGUUGGUAACACCCGAAGCCAGUGGCC